RNAcentral lists this ribosomal RNA (253 nucleotides) under uncultured bacterium. Its description in RNAcentral is "partial 16S ribosomal RNA". It matches the Rfam family "Bacterial small subunit ribosomal RNA", at positions 524 to 776 of the family's 1533-position model. The record is from RNAcentral.
UACGUAGGGCGCAAGCGUUAUCCGGAAUUAUUGGGCGUAAAGAGCUCGUAGGCGGUUUGUCGCGUCUGCCGUGAAAGUCCGGGGCUCAACUCCGGAUCUGCGGUGGGUACGGGCAGACUAGAGUGAUGUAGGGGAGACUGGAAUUCGUGGUGUAGCGGUGAAAUGCGCAGAUAUCAGGAGGAACACCGAUGGCGAAGGCAGGUCUCUGGGCAUUAACUGACGCUGAGGAGCGAAAGCAUGGGGAGCGAACAGG